GCCGGGCGUGGUGGCGCUCGCCUGUAAUCCCAGCUACUUGGGAGGCUGAGGCAGGAGUAUUGCUUGAACCCGGGAGGUGGAGGUUGCAGUGAGCCAAGAUCAUGCCACUGCACCCCAGCCUGGGUGACAGAGCAAGACUCCGUCUCAA
Molecule: signal recognition particle RNA, 148 nt
Filed under: Homo sapiens (human)
Lineage: Eukaryota; Metazoa; Chordata; Mammalia; Primates; Hominidae
Description: Metazoan signal recognition particle RNA
Rfam family: Metazoan signal recognition particle RNA
About the family: The signal recognition particle (SRP) is a universally conserved ribonucleoprotein. It is involved in the co-translational targeting of proteins to membranes.
Source: Rfam by way of RNAcentral